Molecule: ribosomal RNA, 253 nt
Filed under: uncultured bacterium
Lineage: Bacteria
Description: partial 16S ribosomal RNA
Rfam family: Bacterial small subunit ribosomal RNA
Source: RNAcentral
UACGGAGGGCGCAAGCGUUGUUCGGAAUCACUGGGCGUAAAGCGCGUGUAGGCGGCUCUGCAAGUCGGGUGUGAAAUCCCGAGGCUCAACCUCGGAACUGCAGUCGAUACUGCUUGGCUCGAGUCCCGGAGGUGGUGGUGGAAUUCCCGGUGUAGGGGUGAAAUCCGUAGAUAUCGGGAGGAACACCAGUGGCGAAGGCGGCCCCCUGGACGGUGACUGACGCUGAGACGCGAAAGCGUGGGGAGCAAAUAGG